AUUGAACGCUGGCGGCGUGCUUAACACAUGCAAGUCGAACGCGAAAGGGACUUCGGUCCUGAGUAAAGUGGCGCACGGGUGAGUAACGCGUGGAUAAUCUGCCCUUAUGAUCGGGAUAACAGUUGGAAACGGCUGCUAAUACCGGAUACGCUCAAAAUGAACUUUUUGAGGAAAGAUGGCCACCGCUUGCAUGCUAUCACGUAAGGAUGAGUCCGCGUCCCAUUAGCUUGUUGGCGGGGUAACGGCCCACCAAGGCAUUGAUGGGUAGCCGACUUGAGAGGAUGAUCGGCCACACUGGAACUGAAACACGGUCCAGACUCCUACGGGAGGCAGCAGUGGGGAAUAUUGCGCAAUGGGCGAAAGCCUGACGCAGCGACGCCGCGUGAGGGAUGAAGGUUUUCGGAUCGUAAACCUCCGUCAGAAGGGAAGAAACUACGUUGUGCUAAUCAGCAGCGUACUGACGGUACCUUCAAAGGAAGCACCGGCUAACUCCGUGCCAGCCGCCGCGGUAA
Molecule: ribosomal RNA, 512 nt
Filed under: uncultured bacterium
Lineage: Bacteria
Description: partial 16S ribosomal RNA
Rfam family: Bacterial small subunit ribosomal RNA
Source: RNAcentral